RNAcentral lists this ribosomal RNA (896 nucleotides) under Chaetomium globosum. Its description in RNAcentral is "LSU rRNA". It matches the Rfam family "Eukaryotic large subunit ribosomal RNA", at positions 36 to 964 of the family's 3401-position model. Lineage: Eukaryota; Fungi; Ascomycota; Sordariomycetes; Sordariales; Chaetomiaceae. The record is from RNAcentral.
UAGCAUAUCAAUAAGCGGAGGAAAAGAAACCAACAGGGAUUGCCCUAGUAACGGCGAGUGAAGCGGCAACAGCUCAAAUUUGAAAUCUGGCUUCGGCCCGAGUUGUAAUUUGCAGAGGAAGCUUUAGGCGCGGCACCUUCUGAGUCCCCUGGAACGGGGCGCCAUAGAGGGUGAGAGCCCCGUAUAGUUGGAUGCCUAGCCUGUGUAAAGCUCCUUCGACGAGUCGAGUAGUUUGGGAAUGCUGCUCAAAAUGGGAGGUAAAUUUCUUCUAAAGCUAAAUACCGGCCAGAGACCGAUAGCGCACAAGUAGAGUGAUCGAAAGAUGAAAAGCACUUUGAAAAGAGGGUUAAAUAGCACGUGAAAUUGUUGAAAGGGAAGCGCUUGUGACCAGACUUGCGCCGGGCGGAUCAUCCGGUGUUCUCACCGGUGCACUCCGCCCGGCUCAGGCCAGCAUCGGUUCUCGCGGGGGGAUAAAGGUCCUGGGAACGUAGCUCCUCCGGGAGUGUUAUAGCCCGGGGCGUAAUGCCCUCGCGGGGACCGAGGUUCGCGCAUCUGCAAGGAUGCUGGCGUAAUGGUCAUCAGCGACCCGUCUUGAAACACGGACCAAGGAGUCAAGGUUUUGCGCGAGUGUUUGGGUGUAAAACCCGCACGCGUAAUGAAAGUGAACGUAGGUGAGAGCUUCGGCGCAUCAUCGACCGAUCCUGAUGUUUUCGGAUGGAUUUGAGUAGGAGCGUUAAGCCUUGGACCCGAAAGAUGGUGAACUAUGCUUGGAUAGGGUGAAGCCAGAGGAAACUCUGGUGGAGGCUCGCAGCGGUUCUGACGUGCAAAUCGAUCGUCAAAUCUGAGCAUGGGGGGCGAAAGACUAAUCGAACCAUCUAGUAGCUGGUUACCGCCGA